This is a long non-coding RNA of Folsomia candida, 329 nucleotides long. RefSeq lists it as uncharacterized. The record is from RefSeq and is a predicted model, not a curated record. NCBI's taxonomy places the organism in Eukaryota, Metazoa, Arthropoda, Collembola, Entomobryomorpha, Isotomidae. The transcript has 3 exons.
CUUUGAGACUGUCAGUGCGUGCCUUAGUUUCUCAAAAAUCUCAAUUUCUGAGAAAGUUCUACCGUGUGCGAAUGGAGGGUACACUCAUACAUUUAUAUUUACGGGUGACGGAGCAGGAGUAAACAAAAGUCUGGUGAAUCGCUAUUAUUGAGGGUCUGGAGGAUAUAACUUAUUAAAUAAGUAAACAUCAACAUCAAAUCAGAUUUGAAGGUUAAGAAUGGAUUCCGUGAAUGAAGAAGAAAAAGUUAAUCAACUGGAGACUCGUCCUCCUACAAAAAUUUAUCCUGGGACGAUGGAUUCUCUGGUUCCACCACAAAAAGAUGGCGACG